CGCAUCUGUGCAUGCAGCAUAUCAAUAAGCGGAGGAAAAGAAACUAACAAGGAUUCCCUUAGUAACGGCGAGUGAAGCGGGAAGAGCUCAAAUUUGAAAUCUUCAAGGUUUUACCUUGACGAAUUGUAGUUUAAAGAAGUGUUUUCUGUUGAAGUUUUGGUAAAAGUUCUUUGGAAUAGGACAUCAUAGAGGGUGAGAAUCCCGUAUUUGACCAUUAUUUUCAGCUGUGUGAUACAGCUUUCAAAGAGUCGGAUUGUUUGGGAAUGCAGUCCAAAAUGGGUGGUAAAUUUCAUCUAAAGCUAAAUAUUGGCGAGAGACCGAUAGCGAACAAGUAUCGUGAGGGAAAGAUGAAAAGAACUUUGAAAGGAGAGUUAAACAGUACGUGAAAUUGUCAAAAGGGAAGCGUUUGACACCAGUGUUGUUUUCUCGAAAAUCAAUUAAAAAGAGUUUGAUUUUGUUGUGUAUUGACCUUAACAGCUUGCAUUUCAAUUUUCUUGCUUUUUUUAAUGCACUUUUCGUUUAACAAGUCAACAUCAGUUUCUUUUGUUGUAAAAAGGUCAUUGGAAGGUGGCUUUCUUUUCGGAGAAAGUGUUUAUAGCCUUUGACUCCUGCAAUCGGAGAGACUGAGGUCUGCAGCGUAGAUCCUUCGGGGUUAGAUACAUUUGUGCUAAGUUAUAGCUUUUUAUAGACAACUUGUUGACUAUGAUUAGUCUUGUAGCUUACUCGCUUAUGCUAUUUUACCUACGCUUAGGAUGUUGACACACGCGCGUGCUCGACUCUAUACAUGACUCUGUGCAUAUCAAUAAGCGGAGGAAAAGCAUAACAUGUAUACCUACGCUUAGGAUGUUGACACACGCGCGUGCUCGACUCUAUACAUGACUCUGCUGCAUAUCAAUAAGCGGAGGAAAAGUCUGCGGACUGACCUCUACCUACGCUUAGGAUGUUGACACACGCGCGUGCUC
RNAcentral lists this ribosomal RNA (962 nucleotides) under uncultured Neocallimastigales. RNAcentral's name for it is "partial large subunit ribosomal RNA". It matches the Rfam family "Eukaryotic large subunit ribosomal RNA", at positions 26 to 608 of the family's 3401-position model. Lineage: Eukaryota; Fungi; Neocallimastigomycota; Neocallimastigomycetes; Neocallimastigales. The record is from RNAcentral.